RNAcentral lists this long non-coding RNA (1383 nucleotides) under Nicotiana tabacum (common tobacco). Its description in RNAcentral is "long non-coding RNA (NTAB_LNC013603)". The record is from RNAcentral. Lineage: Eukaryota; Viridiplantae; Streptophyta; Magnoliopsida; Solanales; Solanaceae.
UAUGAAGCCUCUACUGAUAAACUGACGCACUGCUCAGGACAUGAGAUUUCCUGGCCAGUUCUCUAAGUAACAAAGAAAUAACUAAAUAAAGAUGACUCUAAGGAAUAUUCCACGAACAAAAGUGGAGCUCACCAAUAGCACUGGAAGAGAAGGAAGUCGUAACUCGUAGCCUGCUCGCCUGCAAAUCCGGUUACUACGUUGUACCACAGACCAACGUAGGUUCCCAAAAGAGAAUGUCAGUACCAUCCAUUGUACUCAGUGAGUCUCAACAACAGGGGGCGAAACUUUAAUAACAUAUACAUUAUGAGCAAAGGUUCUAAAUGCAUGUAAAACAUAAAGCUUAUAAGAAUAAUUCUAAAAUAAUUGCAUAAUAGCAGUUCAUGAAUAUUCUAAAAGAAAUUCUUUUCUUUUUCUUACUUAUAAAAAAAAUACUUCACUUUAUACUUUGGGAGUUCCAACUAUCCUGACUUAAUUCUGUCUCAGUCACCGUGUGAUCAGCACAGGUUCGAUCCCAACCUGAUCGAAUAGGCCCAAUCCACAAGGUGUCACUCGCUUCAUGGUUCUCAGCGCUCAUGUCUCAUACCUUAGCAUGACUAAGUAAGUUCUCAGCAAUGAGACCCUCAGCUCGUGUGCUCCCUACUUUGGCAUAAGUAGUUUCAGGAAGUCAACGUCUUGGUCAGGACCCUAGGCCUGGACGAUGACCCCUUCUCAGAAUAAAAGGUACUCCAAAAAAAAUCUUUUCUUUCUAAAACUUCUUCUUGUGACUUUUCAAGUCUAAAUCAUUUAUACAUACUCAUACUGGUAUCCUUAAAUGUAAAGCAUGACAUAAGAAUGAAAUAAACAUUCAAAAGUAUUUAUAAAGGUUCUUGAUCCUUCAUGAAUUUUCAACAUGAAAAUGACAUAUAAGAAUAACAUAAAAAUCUGAAAUUUAUGCAUAUAUAUCCAAAUAAUCAUCUAAACUUUAGCUAGAAAAUAAUUCUAAGCUAAUAGGUACUUAUUACUCCCAUUACGUAUAUAUUAACUCUUUUAUGCAAUUCAUCAAACACCUUGUGUGCGUGUUUUUUUGUGAGUUAAACCAUUUUAGUAGAGAGUUAUAUCAACUCACCUCAAUACUCCUUGAGCCAAUACGUAGACCCCUGUCCGAUUUAUACCUGUCAAACAAUUGAUUCUACAACAACUAGUGCAUUUUAAUUAAUUUCAAAGUUUCACACUUAAACAUGGGAUUUACUGUUGAUACAGAGAAAGAAGGGAAUUAACUAUUCAAUUCUUAUCUAUUACUACUGUAGGGUAAUUGAGAAUAGAGAAUUUUAUAUACCUUAAUUCAAGAAUAAGUGAGUUAUGAAGAACCCUAGAAUUUUUCGAGCAAUUUUCUGGCUACCUCUG